GAUGAAGAACGCAGCGAAACGCGAUAGUUAAUGUGAAUUGCAGAAUUCAGUGAAUCAUCGAGUCUUUGAACGCACAUUGCGCCCCUCGGUAUUCCGGAGGGCAUGUCUGUUUGAGCGUCAUUUCAACACUCGCUUUAAGUGGUAUUGAGCUGGAAGUAAUGAACAACCAGCUUUAAAGUUGAAUGCUUUGCGGACGAAUGUCUUGAAAAAACAUAGUAAAAUCUUUUGUUUGCCAUGAUGUUCGUCUUGCCUAAACCAAAAUCUAUCUUUUUGACCUCAGAUCAGACAAGGAUACCCGCUGAACUUAAGCAUAUCAAUAAGCGGAGGA
Molecule: unclassified non-coding RNA, 328 nt
Filed under: soil metagenome
Description: partial contains 5.8S ribosomal RNA, internal transcribed spacer 2, and large subunit ribosomal RNA
Rfam family: 5.8S ribosomal RNA (bases 1-120)
Source: RNAcentral